CGAGCGGUCCGGAUGGUCGCGACGCCGAAAGGCGGCGAGGAAGGUCGGGGCUGCAGAGGGCAGGGUGGCGGGUAACGCCCGUCCGCCGCGAGGCGAGGACCAGCGCCACAGUGACGAUGCCGCCGAGAGGCGGAGUGAAACGCGGCAAGCUCCACCCGCAGCAAGAUCGAAUAGAGGGACCAUGGCGUGGCCCGCGCCGUCCCUGGGUCGAUCGCUAGAGGCGGAGGGUGACCUCCGAUCCCCAGAAGGAUGACCGUCACCCCGCAAGGGGGACAGGACCCCGCCUACAGGGCCGCUCGACAU
Molecule: RNase P RNA, 303 nt
Filed under: Chloroflexi bacterium GWC2_70_10
Lineage: Bacteria; Bacillati; Chloroflexota
Also listed under: 1 other name
Description: RNase P RNA component class A
Rfam family: Bacterial RNase P class A
About the family: Ribonuclease P (RNase P) is a ubiquitous endoribonuclease, found in archaea, bacteria and eukarya as well as chloroplasts and mitochondria. Its best characterised activity is the generation of mature 5'-ends of tRNAs by cleaving the 5'-leader elements of precursor-tRNAs.
Source: RNAcentral